This is a long non-coding RNA of Papaver somniferum (opium poppy), 388 nucleotides long. RefSeq lists it as uncharacterized. The transcript is spliced from 2 exons. The record is from RefSeq and is a predicted model, not a curated record. NCBI's taxonomy places the organism in Eukaryota, Viridiplantae, Streptophyta, Magnoliopsida, Ranunculales, Papaveraceae.
UUUUUUUUUUUUUUUUUUGAAACAAUAGAUUUCUAGGGUUUCGAUUUAAAGAUUGAGAAUAAGUUUUUAUAUCUGAGAGUAUAAUAUUGUAGAUAAACAAUUCGAUUGAUAGAUGCUUCAUUUUUAUUUUUAUUUUUAUGUGUUUGUUUUAGGGUCUGGAACUGAUUUACUCAGAAAUAUUCAGGGAGUUCUUUCUUCAUUUUAGUGAUUUUCUCUUAAGGGUCUUCUUCAAUUUUCAGAAAUGGAGAUGGAAUAAUAGUUCCUGCUGCAGAUGAAGAGGUAUAAGCUGCUCCAGAGGCUACUAAGAAAGUAAUUUGAAAUUGUAAUGAAUUCCUAUUCUCUGUUAAAUCAGCGGGUAUUUGAAAUUGCAAUUCUCUUUGUGAAGGAA